This 1420-nucleotide long non-coding RNA is filed under the name Mytilus galloprovincialis (Mediterranean mussel). Lineage: Eukaryota; Metazoa; Mollusca; Bivalvia; Mytilida; Mytilidae. The record is from RNAcentral.
AAUAUAUACUUAUUUAUUUUAUCACAAAAUACCUUUACAAUGUACCCCUUCAAUUCUUACACAAUAAUAUCACGCAAAGCAAUUACAAUCAUUUAUUUAUUGGAAGCAUCACAAUCUUAUUUAUAAUGCCAACCUAUGACCUCUAUUGUAAAAAAGGUCCGAUGUUUUUUUCUUAUGAAAUGGAACACGCAGAAUUUAGAAGAUAAAAGUAGAUUCGUUACCUCUAUAUCAUGUUAAUUUCAUAACCAGAUCUGGUCGGAGUAUAAUUACCAGUAACUUUAGUUUUCCAAUAUUCAAAUCAGUUAAAAAUAUACAAAAUAAAGAUCUAAAAGAAGGAAAUGUUUGAUGCGCAUAGGCCAACCAUCUUGCAAAUCUCCACUAAGUCAAAAUGUCACAAUGAGGAAUAAAACACAGGCUGUAACAAUAGUUUUUUGAGCGAAUUAACAAAGUUAAAAAUGGAAAUGGGGAAAGUAUCAAAGAGACACCACCCCGACCAACAAGUAGAAGGCGGAGGCCACCAGUGAAUCUUCAACACAGUAUGAAAACCACUCACACGAAGGCGGACUUCACCUGGCCCUAAAAUAAAAUGUGUACUAUUUCAAUGAAAAUGGACGUUACACCAAACUAUAAAAAUGCAGGCAACAGUGGUAUACCGCUGUUCGAAAGUCAUAAAUCGAUUGACAGAAAAAAACAGAGUUACAAAUAUAACCGACGAAACACAUCAACUAUAAGAGGAAAACAACGAAACAGAGAAACACUGAGGUGCAACAAAAACAAACAACAAUGCAACACACACAGAAACGAACUAUAUGAAAACAACUUCCAUUUUGACUUGGUAAAGAUCAUUUUAAGAAUAAAAUAGUGGGUUGAACCUGGUUUUAUGUCUAGCCAAACCUCGUUCUUUUCUGGCAAUGUUAAAUAUAACACUCAAAAUGACAGAUAUCUUAACAAAUAAAUGCAAAAACUUUAACGUCAGAGAAAUACACAAAUCAACAACACAAUAGUACAUUUCAACAUGCUGACCACAGGAUAAAAACGAACACGUAAAACAACUUCGGACAGCACACAAUAAAGAGCUGCACUAUUAGCGCAUGAUACGCCCGUUGUCCUUUAAGCUUGCCUUUAUGCUUUAAUGAUUUUUUUUGGGGUACAUUAAUUAGACUGUUAGUGUUCUCAUUUGAAUUAUUUUACAUUUGUCAUUUCAGGGUCUUAUAUUGCUGACUGUGCGGGCUUUGCUCAUUGUUGAAGACCAUACCGUGACCUAUAGUUGUUAAAUUUCUUUUAAUUUUUGAAAGUAGCUUAAGUCAACAGAUAUAAACAAUUCACCAAAGUUUCAUAAAAUUUGUGAAAGUGUUUAUGAGUAAUUGUCCGAAAAUUGGAAAAUCCCCCCUUUUAAGAAUAAAGAUUCAUAACACGAAAA